This 253-nucleotide ribosomal RNA is filed under the name uncultured bacterium. RNAcentral describes it as "partial 16S ribosomal RNA". It matches the Rfam family "Bacterial small subunit ribosomal RNA", at positions 524 to 776 of the family's 1533-position model. The record is from RNAcentral.
UACGUAGGGGGCAAGCGUUAUCCGGAUUUACUGGGUGUAAAGGGAGCGUAGACGGCAGAGCAAGUCUGAAGUGAAAGCCCGCGGCCCAACUGCGGGACUGCUUUGGAAACUGCCCGGCUAGAGUGCUGGAGAGGUAAGCGGAAUUCCUAGUGUAGCGGUGAAAUGCGUAGAUAUUAGGAGGAACACCAGUGGCGAAGGCGGCUUACUGGACUGUAACUGACGUUGAGGCUCGAAAGCGUGGGGAGCAAACAGG